CAAAUUGACAGUUCAUACGAAUCGUUCGCGACUUAAUAGUUAAGCCGCGCCUUAUUUUCACUCGUACGUAUAGCCCUAUAUAGAUGGUCUUGUUUUCCUACCUUCGCCGUUAGCGGCAAUUGUUGAUGCAAACCCACUUCCUAUAUCAUGUUUUAUAUUCAUAAUGUCUAUUCCAUCUCUUGAGGAAGAAAAAUAGUUCCCUAAACUGUCUUUUGAAGGGUUUUUGUUGUCUUCUGGAGACGCCAUUGAUGAGGAGACAUAUAAUCGUUUGGAGUUCGGUC
Non-coding RNA from Paramuricea clavata, 281 nucleotides. Lineage: Eukaryota; Metazoa; Cnidaria; Anthozoa; Malacalcyonacea; Plexauridae. The record is from the annotation of a GenBank genome assembly.